This is a long non-coding RNA of Helianthus annuus (common sunflower), 772 nucleotides long. RefSeq lists it as uncharacterized. The transcript has 2 exons. The record is from RefSeq and is a predicted model, not a curated record. Lineage: Eukaryota; Viridiplantae; Streptophyta; Magnoliopsida; Asterales; Asteraceae.
UUCACACAUAAUUCUCAUCGAAAUCCUAUUAUUCAUCACUCAUCACUCUUCAAUCUUCAAAAACCCCAUUACCCUUCUUCCAUCAAUCAAUUCAUUGAAACUUAAUUUAGAAGAAUCAUGUAAACCCCUUUUCGAGACGUAAGCAGUUUCAGCAGGCGCGGUUCGUCAUUCAAUGAUAAGUCUCCGGCGACGGAAGGAGAUGUGGAAUCUGUAACCGAUAGUGGCGGAGAUGAGGACGACGGCGGCGGAGCGCCACCGAUAGUUUCAGCCACCGGUGGUAUAUUCGCCGGGGAAAAGGAAGUCGUAUCUACAUCGUGUGAAGAUCUACAAGAAGUGCUUCCGUGUCGGAUGACGGUUGAAAAACAGUCGUCGUAGGAAAAAUUUACGGGUCAGUGUUACGAAUAUAUUUAUGAUGUGUUUUGUUCGGUUGCUUGUGGCGGCAGUGACCGCCGUUGUGCCGGUUGGCGGUUGAGGACAGUCGUCGGAGAAAAACAAAACAUAUAAAUCAAUUGUUCGUAUAAUCAAUUUUCUUUUAUCAACCCCCUCUAUUACCAGUUAGUGGAUUAUAUACAAUAUAUAGAUCAAUCAUGUACUUAGAGGAACAGGUACAUUAUAAUGUUAGAGACACGAAUCAAUUGAUUGGAGUUGUAAACGGUUCCUUUAAAUUUAUGGGUUCAAAUUGAAUAAUGUAAAGUAUAUUAUGUAAUUUGUGUUCCUCUAAGUUUUGUAAGCUAUGCAGUUUUAUCGUAUGUAUAAAUCAAUUGAACAGGUA